CAUGUCGCCACCUGAAGUUUCGGAGGGAUUACUGUAGCCUAGGUUUCUUGCGAAGCCGACAGACGUGAAUGCAGCAGAAACCUGGACAAGAUAUUCAGAGGGAGUUUGUCUCCAUCCAGGAGCUGCAGUGGCCCUGUGGAUUCGGAGACGCCACGGUUGAUGUCAGCUCGGUGCCACGAGCACCCGGCAGCUCCGUCUGACAGCAGCAGAGAGGUGAGAGGAAGAAAACCAAGUGCUCUGGUCUGUGGGGAAGUGUGAGAACGCAAAAACAACCCGCAGCGCGACCCAAAAGCAUGAAAAAAAAAAAAAAAAAACACAGCAACAAGGAAGUGGAAACUGUGACAGCUGGUAUUUUUAGACCGUGAAAACCUUUAGGACUUUGACUAGAAACAUCAAAAAAGUCAUUAUGUUGAGCUGAGCUACAUGUAUUAGAUUUACUGUCUAAAAAACUUGUUGUCCACUAAGAGCAAAUUAUACAGUUUGUAAUAAUUAGUUGUAAAGUCCCAGAAAUGUGUCUACUGUUUUGUUGUCACUCACACCUGUCUGUGUAAAACUACAACUUAGACGUAGUCUGAAAGUUACUGAUUCCUCCUUUAGCUGAAGGCAACAUGCCCUUUUUAAAACCUUAGUCAGUUUUUUUUUUAACACAGUUUCUUUACAAACUGUCGACAGAGAAAAAAAAAGUUUAAAUGACUCACAUUUAAACUGAUGGGGUCUGUUUAUAACUUUACAAUGAAUAUAGUUUGGUACAAACACCCACACUGGGGACACAUCCUGGGUGGGUCUCAGUUAAAGACUCCAAAAAAAACACCAGUCAGCCGUAAUAUUAUGACCACUCACAGGUUAAGUGAAUUAUCUCAUUACCAGGAUGUAUGAGGCAACAAGUGAACAUUUUGUCCUCAAAAGUCGAUGAUAGAAACAGGAAAGACGGGCUGAUGGAAGGAUCUGACUAACCUGGAUGAGGGCUGGAUGGGGUGUUCCUGGUCUAGAGUGGUCAGUAUCUAAGUGGUCCGUGGAAGGAACAGCAGGGAACCAGUGGCCCGGUCAUGGCCAACUAAAGCUCACUGAUGUCCACAGGAAGCAAAGGUCCUAUCCUUCAUGUGGAUGUCACUUUAACACGUACCAAACAACAAAGCAUCGUGACAGACCACGUACCUUUCAUGGAGACAGUAUGUCAGUGGUAUUGACCUGGCCCCCAAAUUCACCAGAACUGAAUCCAUCUGAGCAUCUGUGGGAUGUGUUGGACAAACAAGUGCAAACCCCCAGAGACUGCACCUCACAACCUGCAGCACUGGAAGGAUCUGCUGCUAAUGUCUUUAUAGUUUUGGCAGUAAAUGCAGGCAACACAAUAUCAGGCAGAUGGUCAUAAUGUUAUACCUCAUCUGUGUGUAUAUGGGGACCACAAUGGAAUCCAUAAAAGGAAACCGGUGCACUUCCUCUGCACUAUACACAUUGUCUCUGGAGGAAACGAACAGGUCAUGUGUUUAUUAUUUUAAGACAGAUAUUUGAAAAGGGUAAAUUUGUCUAUUAAAUUGACAGAAAAAAACAAACAAGCGAUGGUUUCCGUAGCUCACGGCAGCUCGACCACGUAGACAACUCUACGUUCAUUUAAAUUACAGGACAACCUCCACCGUUUGUUUUUAAUGAGAAGCGGUUCUCAAGCCGUCGGGUGUUCAGGAUUUAGAUCAAUCAGACAAGACUGAAUCAAUGCCCAUACUCUUAUCCGUGUCCCAUCACAAGCGCAGAGAGUCCUGCAAGUUUAUUACCAAACGAUGACAGCUGUUUAUCUU
Mugil cephalus (flathead mullet) is the source of this 1790-nucleotide long non-coding RNA. RefSeq lists it as uncharacterized. The transcript is spliced from 2 exons. NCBI's taxonomy places the organism in Eukaryota, Metazoa, Chordata, Actinopteri, Mugiliformes, Mugilidae. The record is from RefSeq and is a predicted model, not a curated record.